CCCUUAGAUGUUCUGGGCUGCACGCGCGCGACACUGAAGCUAUCAACACGUUUUCCCUCCCUGAGAAGGGCGGGUAACCUUUUGAAUCAGCUUCGUGGUAGGGAUCGGGGCUUGCAAUUGUUCCCCGUGAACCAGGAAUUCCUAGUAGACGCGAGUCAUAAGCUCGCAUCGAUUAAGUCCCUGCCCUUUGUACACACCGCCCGUCGCUACUACCGAUUGAACGUUUUAGUGAGGCAUUUGGACCGACGCAUCUCAGUUUAACCGCUGGUUUGUGUUGGAAAGACUUCCAAACUUGAGCGUUUAGAGGAAGUAAAAGUCGUAACA
RNAcentral lists this ribosomal RNA (324 nucleotides) under uncultured eukaryote. Its description in RNAcentral is "partial 18S ribosomal RNA". It matches the Rfam family "Eukaryotic small subunit ribosomal RNA", at positions 1470 to 1796 of the family's 1831-position model. The record is from RNAcentral.